RNAcentral lists this ribosomal RNA (102 nucleotides) under uncultured bacterium. RNAcentral describes it as "partial 16S ribosomal RNA". It matches the Rfam family "Bacterial small subunit ribosomal RNA", at positions 1367 to 1482 of the family's 1533-position model. The record is from RNAcentral.
UAUGUUCCUGGAUCUUGUACACACCGCCCGUCAAGUCAUGGAAGAAGGGAGUACCAGAAGACCCACUUUAGUGGAGACAAGGUAAUACCUUUGACUGGGACU